RNAcentral lists this unclassified non-coding RNA (552 nucleotides) under Hevea brasiliensis (rubber tree). The record is from RNAcentral. Lineage: Eukaryota; Viridiplantae; Streptophyta; Magnoliopsida; Malpighiales; Euphorbiaceae.
UUUUUUUUUUUAUUUAUACACCAAAAAAAGAUUCACAAAAAAUCAAGAAAAGGGUCAUAAACAAUUUUGUUUUUCGAAAGGUUUUUCUCUCUGUUUCUGUCUAAAAGAAUUCAUGGCGGAAAAAGGCCAGCCUCUUCCUAAGUUCGGCGAAUGGGAUGUCAAUGACCCAUCGUCAGCUGAAGGAUUCACAGUGAUCUUUAAUAAAGCUCGAAAUGAGAAGAAGACAGGUGGCAAGGUAGACUCACCACCAAAGGGUGACUCUGCAUACAAAAAUAAAGCAACGCUUGGAAAACCUCAAUCAAAAAAAUGGUUCUGCUGUAUGCAGUCUACUGCUGCUGAAUCAUGAACUUCUCUUAGCUUCUACAACCUGAACUGGGAAAUGAUGUUAGUUUGGAACCAGACGCGACAAGUGUACUAGAACACUGGAGCUGUAGUCAAGAUGUGACGAGUAAUUUUUGCUGUUGUAUUUUGGAUUAUUUACUCAUAAAAUGCUGGCUUUUGCUACCAAAAGAUAUUUAUGAUAUAUAUAUUUGUUUAUUUUUUUUGACUGCA